GUGAAGUCAGCGGAGAAUGAAGAGUCU
This 27-nucleotide non-coding RNA is filed under the name Cricetulus griseus (Chinese hamster). The record is from RNAcentral. Lineage: Eukaryota; Metazoa; Chordata; Mammalia; Rodentia; Cricetidae.